This is a long non-coding RNA of Felis catus (domestic cat), 847 nucleotides long. RefSeq lists it as uncharacterized. The record is from RefSeq and is a predicted model, not a curated record. Lineage: Eukaryota; Metazoa; Chordata; Mammalia; Carnivora; Felidae. The transcript has 3 exons.
CAGGGAGACAAUAGAGGGAUGUGACAAAGUGAGUGGCUGGCAUGAGGGUGGGGGCUGUUUCUGAUGUCGUCCUCAGAGUAGACUUCUUGGAAGAGAGCUAACAAAUGAAGAGCCCAGGGAAGAUGACUCCAGGCAGAGAGAAAAGCAAAUGUUAAGGUCCUGAGGUGGGAAAGAAAUUGUCGUGUUCCGGAUGCAGAAAGCAAGCUGAGUGAAGGGAAUAAGUGGAGUUGGUUAAAAAAGGUGGAUGGGAGCCAGGCUCAUGCAGCACCUUUUGGCCAAGGGAAGGCAUUCAAUGGUGUUAUGCAAGAGAUAGCUUAGUGAUCGAUGUUGGAAAAGACCCCUCUGGCUUCUGUCUGCAGGGCGAGACUGAAAGCAGGACCUUCAGUCAGGAGGCUACUCCCGGCAUCCAAGCAAGUGAUGGUGGCAGAAUGGUGGAGGUGGAGGUCGAGAGAGGGCAGAUCGGAGAUCUAUUUUGGAGCUCUUCACACUGCAAAUAAAGUGGCUGUGGAUAUUCACAUGCUGUGGCCGUGCACUGAAGAAAAAGUUCUCGGACACUAGACUGAGCAGACAUGCAGGGCUGCCUCCGGAGACAGCAGCAGCAGCAACAGAACAGGGGUUGCAGAGGAAGGGGCAAGCAUCUGGGUAUCGACAAAGAACACCUUAGGUGAUGUGAAGCAGAGAGACGUCAUCAUUUUGAAGACUGCAUUGGGAAACAAAAUCAUGACUAAUACUAUAAUAGUAGGAAACCAAGAAUGAAGAUUGAACGCAGAGAACCAGUUUUUGGGGUUGAUCCAAUGAGAAAAGUCAUUGACAGCAUCAAUCACUGCUUGUUGGUUUUCCCGUUGAA